GGACAGCGGCGAAAGGGAGAGGACAACAUAGGAAUCUGCCCUGGGGUCGGGGAUAGCGUCGGGAAACUGACGGUAAUACCCGAUAAUAUCCAAGGAUCAAAGGAGCAAUUUGCCCCGGGAUGAGCCUAUGCCCCAUUAGCUAGUUGGCGGUGUAAUGGACCACCAAGGCUGUGAUGGGUAGCUGGUGUGAGAGCACGACCAGCCUCACUGGCACUGAGACACUGGCCAGACACCUACGGGUGGCUGCAGUCGAGAAUCUUCGGCAAUGGACGAAAGUCUGACCGAGCGACGCCGCGUGUGGGAUGAAGGUCUUCGGAUUGUAAACCACUGUCGAGGGGGAUUAAGGGAAACUUGAAAGAACCCUGGAGGAAGGGGAGGCUAAGCUCGUGCCAGCAGCCGCGGUAAGACGAGCUCCCCAAACGUUAUUCGGUAUUACUGGGCUUAAAGAGUUCGUAGGCGGCGAAGUAGGUGAGGUGUGAAAGCCCUCGGCUCAACCGAGGAACUGCGCUUCAAACCACUUUGCUAGAGGGAGAUAGGGGUAAGCGGAACAGAUGGUGGAACGGUGAAAUGUAUUGAUAUCAUCUGGAACACCGGUGGCGAAAGCGGCUUACUGGGUCUUUUCUGACGCUGANGAACGAAAGCUAGGGUAGCGAACGGNAUUAGAUACCCCGGUAGUCCUANCCGUAAACGAUGAGCACUANUCUGANGGANUUUCACGGUUUCUCGNNCGUANNGAAAGUGUUNAGUGCUCCGCCNGGGNAGUAUGGUCGCANGCUGAAACUCNAAGGAAUNGNNNGGGGGCUCACNCAAGCGGUGGAGG
This 820-nucleotide ribosomal RNA is filed under the name uncultured bacterium. RNAcentral describes it as "partial 16S ribosomal RNA". It matches the Rfam family "Bacterial small subunit ribosomal RNA", at positions 90 to 938 of the family's 1533-position model. The record is from RNAcentral.